UGGGGAAUAUUGCACAAUGGGCGAAAGCCUGAUGCAGCAACGCCGCGUGAGUGAUGAAGGUCUUCGGAUUGUAAAGCUCUGUCUUUUGGGACGAUAAUGACGGUACCAAAGGAGGAAGCCACGGCUAACUACGUGCCAGCAGCCGCGGUAAUACGUAGGUGGCGAGCGUUGUCCGGAUUUACUGGGCGUAAAGGGUGCGUAGGCGGAUGUUUAAGUGAGAUGUGAAAUACCC
RNAcentral lists this ribosomal RNA (232 nucleotides) under uncultured bacterium. RNAcentral describes it as "partial 16S ribosomal RNA". It matches the Rfam family "Bacterial small subunit ribosomal RNA", at positions 355 to 604 of the family's 1533-position model. The record is from RNAcentral.